Molecule: ribosomal RNA, 226 nt
Filed under: uncultured bacterium
Lineage: Bacteria
Description: partial 16S ribosomal RNA
Rfam family: Bacterial small subunit ribosomal RNA
Source: RNAcentral
UGAGUAACACGUAUCCAACCUGCCGUCUACUCUUGGACAGCCUUCUGAAAGGAAGAUUAAUACAAGAUGGCAUCAUGAGUCCGCAUGUUCACAUGAUUAAAGGUAUUCCGGUAGACGAUGGGGAUGCGUUCCAUUAGAUAGUAGGCGGGGUAACGGCCCACCUAGUCUUCGAUGGAUAGGGGUUCUGAGAGAAGGUCCCCCACAUUGGAACUGAGACACGGUCCAA